AUGCUCUGUAGGCUUAAAUGUUACUUUAAAGGUGGCAUUGUUUCAGUCUUCUGGGGGCUAGCAUUUAUUCUGUACAUCUACAGGGCUGUUGCUCCAGACUUGUGUUUUACAAAUACCCAUUUAAAAACAAGUACAUGCGAAUCUGACUUUGGUUUCCUCCCCCUUCCCCUUUCAGUCUACUUUGGGGAUGAAGGAUGUGGUGGUCCUGUUCUAGAACCAGCCAAUGGACAGAGAAAGUGUCUGAAGAUACGAGCAUUCCAGAGGACGAGAGGAUAUGCCAGGACAGCUAAAGCAGGAUCUUCUGUGUUGUGGGAAAAACCUUUUCACCACAGACAUCUUGAAAGUGACCACCUUGGAGGCUCCUCAUUCCUUCUUGAGAUGUUGCACAACUCAAGACAUGGGUUUUACCAUAUUGGGCAAAGCCAUGGUUUGGUUUGUUCUGAGCCUCUGAGAUGCAGGCUCUGGGUGGACUGGUCACCGUUUUGGCAUUCCCAGUGGUGGAAUUGUGUGGACAAUCAGAUCGCUCAGAGGAAGAGGAAGAUUUACUGACAUCCUUAUCCACAUUCCAGGGCUUGCCUUUCAUCUUCUCAUCUGCAUCACUGAACCACAAGAGAGAGAGGGGGCAAUUAAUGUUCCACCACUUGCAGGGACAAAGCUCGAGGGGCUUCUGCUGCUUUCGUCCCUUGUAUGUGCUGUGAAUUCCUCAGAGUUUGGGUAUAUGAGGUACCUGCACAGCCACAAUGGAGCAGAUGAUACAGCUAAGGAACGUUUUAGUGGUUUGGUUCUCAGGCAAAAGACCUGGGGUGUUUUUUCUCUCCAGUAUUCAAGAAUAUGCAUUUAUGAUAUGUGGCCUGUCUGUGCUAGUGGAAUGUAAGUGACAGAACACAAAUGCAUUAGAUCAUGAACUGUCAUUGACCUCUCAGCAACAAUAUGUUGAUUAACAUCACCUAGGGACCUACGAUUCUUUUUUUUUUUUUCCGUCUGCUUCUUGGGGGAGGGGGGAGAGAUGUUUAAUCAAAUUUGGAGAAUUAUCUUGGCUGACAGCAGUAAGUCUAAUCAGAUGACAGAAUUCAUGUCAAAGCUGUUAAUGUAUAAUUUUAUUUGUUUAAAAGAGAUUGCUUGACUUGUAAGUGGAUGCUUUCACUUACAAUUUUAUCGAGUACUCCUUAUUACAUAUAGGAGAUUCACUGUUAAUUUGUUUCUCAAGAGCAAUGCUUUAUCUUGUUAAUUUAGUGCCAUGUUCAGUGCAUCUUGUUCCUUUACAUCCCGUUUUAAGAAUUACAUGAUCGAGCUGUCUCUGUAUGUGUUAUCUAUAUGCAAUAUAUAGAUAACUGACCUAAUGAUGUGAAUAAAAUUUAAAUUCUU
RNAcentral lists this long non-coding RNA (1365 nucleotides) under Athene cunicularia (burrowing owl). RNAcentral's name for it is "lncRNA (ENSACUG00000008229.1)". The record is from RNAcentral. Lineage: Eukaryota; Metazoa; Chordata; Aves; Strigiformes; Strigidae.